UACGAAGGGUGCUAGCGUUGUUCGGAAUCACUGGGCGUAAAGCGCGCGUAGGUGGCUUAACAAGUCAGAGGUGAAAGCCCAGGGCUCAACCCUGGAAUUGCCUUUGAAACUGUUAAGCUUGAGUGUCGGAGGGGAUAGCGGAAUUGCUAAUGUAGAGGUGAAAUUCGUAGAUAUUAGCAGGAACACCGGUGGCGAAGGCGGCUAUCUGGACGACAACUGACACUGAGGCGCGAAAGCGUGGGGAUCAAACAGG
RNAcentral lists this ribosomal RNA (253 nucleotides) under uncultured bacterium. Its description in RNAcentral is "partial 16S ribosomal RNA". It matches the Rfam family "Bacterial small subunit ribosomal RNA", at positions 524 to 776 of the family's 1533-position model. The record is from RNAcentral.